UUAGCUUUUACACAGAUUAGGGACUCAUGUUUAUGUUUGUCUUCUUUAAGGUCCAUGACACAACCAGCUAACGGUCGCACCCCCGGUGCUUUUCCGGUGUUUCACAGCUGGAAUUAGUCAGACCCUUGUCUCUUUUCUGCUGAUUCAGCACGUUGAAGAGACGAGGGAACGAGGCGGCUGGAGAGAUCUCUUUGAUUGCUUUUUCACCUUAACGAAUCAGCUCACAGACCCGAGAGGUGUAACGUGACCUUUGUUUCUGGUAGUCCUCAGAUUUUAGUUUGAUGUGUCUGUACCUUAAAGAGCAAACGGUCUCAGUAGGUUGGAUGAGCUUAUCUACCCUUUUAAUAAAUACUACGACAUACACACA
Molecule: long non-coding RNA, 367 nt
Organism: Mugil cephalus (flathead mullet)
Lineage: Eukaryota; Metazoa; Chordata; Actinopteri; Mugiliformes; Mugilidae
Exons: 2
Source: RefSeq, a predicted model, not a curated record